AAGAGCUUGCCGACCCAGAAAGGACAGGAGCGCUCGGGCUGUCAUGCGCUGCGGUUGUCGGCUCUGCGGACCGAGCGACACUUGGCUGGAAUAACAAAAAAAAAAAAAAAAACCUGCUGCUCACACUUAGAAAACGAUCACGGUGCGCGCGCUGAAAGCCAGAGGGGAAAGACUGUGUUAUUACUGCGAAGACUGAGAAAAAAAUGCUCUUCUAGCGCGAGCGCGAAUGACAUUAUCGCCUGCGGUUUUGCUUCAGUUUUUCUCGAACUUGGAAACAUUUGGACGCAGAAGAAGUUUUUUCUUUCUUUCCGUGUUUACCUGACGUUUGUUUGUUUGUUUGUUUGUUUGUUUGUUUGUUUGUUUGAGUCGCCCCACUUGGAGCCCGAAGCUGAGGACGAGAGAUGGGGAGCGAGAAGUACUUGCCGGAGCUUAUGGCAGAGAAGGACACGCUGGAUCCGUCUUUUCAGCACUCCCUCCGGCUACUGGAUCAAGAGAUCGAAAAAAUUCAGAGAGACGACGGGAAGGAGGAGGAGAAGUUCAUUGAUGUCGUGAUCAACAAGAACAUGAAACUGGGCCAGAAAGUUUUAAUACCAGUCAAGCAGUUUCCUAAAUUUAACUUUGUGGGCAAACUCCUCGGGCCACGUGGGAACUCGUUAAAAAGACUACAGGAGGACACCCUCACAAAGAUGUCAAUCCUUGGAAAAGGAUCCAUGCGAGACAAAGAGAAGGAAGAGGAGCUACGACAGAGCGGCGAGGCCAAAUAUCACCACCUGAAUGAAGACCUGCACGUCCUCAUCGAGGUGUUCGCCCCGCCGGCCGAGGCCUACGCCAGGAUGGGUCAUGCUCUGGAGGAGAUCAAGAAGUUUCUUAUACCAGAUUACAAUGAUGAGAUCAGACAGGCCCAGCUGCAGGAGCUCACAUACCUGAAUGGCGGCUCUGAGGAUGCCAAGGUGCCAUCGGUCAGGGGCAAGUCGGCCGCCCGUGGAAGAGGGACACCUGUUUCAGGGCCUCCCAGGAGUCGUGGAGGAGUACCUUCCCUGCAUGCAGCAGUGCCUCGAGGAGCAGCACCACGAGGAGCCCCACUCAGCCGGGUACCAUCUUCCAGAGGCAGGGGGGUCCAGAGAGCCAGAGGGGCUCCUCCAGCUACCGGCUACAGACCGGCUCCUCCCAUAGUCCAGGACACAUAUGGUGAAUAUGAAUAUGAUGAUGGCUACGGAGCAGCUUAUGAUGACCAAGGAUAUGAAUCAUAUGACAACAACUACAGCAAUCAAGGACAAAACUCAGAUGAUUACUAUGAAUACGGACACAGCGGGGAGUCGUAUGAUUCGUACGGUCAGGAAGAGUGGGCAAACAAUCGCGGGAAGGCUCCGUCGGCACGAGCAGCCAAGGGAGUGUUCAGAGAUCAGCCAUACUCCAGAUAUUGAACUGUUUAUACAACUCGCACCCAAGUCGCCAUGGCUGUUCCAACCCAAGCUCAAGUCACACAGUGCACAGUGCCAUCUGUCCAGUUGUUUCGCUGGUGCUAACGACUUGAUGAAUCACACAAAAGCUUCUCUCCAAACAAUCAACCCCAAACAACAGCAGACUGAAUCCUGAUGAAAAGAGCUAUCCAAACAGUGGACUUUCAUAUUUUCACAGUCUGGACCGAGGUGAAUCCUGCAGGGGGGGACAAGAUGGAGUGACCUGGAUAAAGAUGCUGAAAUGGGGGGAAAGAUAUUACAUGUAUCACACCUUAUCAUUCUCCAGAGAAAGACGGGAGGAGAAGAAAGUUGUGAAGCAAAUGGAGUUCCUUAUCCUCUGGGACUUUUGAGGAAAAUUUCCUUCAGAGCUUCACAUACUCUUUAUACCUUCUGCAUACACACAGGAGUGCUUUGAACCAACUGUGAACCUGAACUGUCUUCACUGAUUCAGACUGUUGUAGGAGAGGGUGUGUGUAUCUUUUAUGUUAGACGUUAACUGCUACCUGCUAGGAGGGAUGACUGAAUAAAUAACAGCAUAUGUCAUGAGAAGUUUGAUACACUUCUGGCAAAGCUCAUUCAUCUUUAUCCAAUCUGCCCCAAUGAAUGAAUAAUUUACUAAGUGCCUUAUUGUUGCAUUGUUGUGACAGUUUUAUUUGCUUAGUCCCAUUGUUGGUACUAAAAUAUAGCAGCACACACAAGAUUUUUUUCCUCUUUUAUGCAGCUUUUUGUGGUUUUUUGCAUCCCUGCGAUGCUGGAAAACAACUCCCACCCUCACACUGGAGUCUAAUCCAGAUGUAUUGCUUAAUCACAAUCGACUACAGUGGAUAUUACAAUUCCAAAAUAGCCUUCUGGCAGACAGAGUUCAUUCUGCCCCGUGCAUAAAUCCAGAUAGCCUGAUCCGUAUUCCACACAGUUGUAUGUUCACAGUUGCAGACAAUAGUUUUCCAUUAGAGGAAGUGAUUCUCUGUGGAGCAUCAGGCCAAGCCUCAGACAAUAACACAGCAGCCUAAAGCUCACAACUCCAGCUAGCGGAGUCAAAUCUCAUCACCUCCAGGGGCUGGUUCCCACUCUGAAGAGGCUUAAACGACAGUCUUAUCUGAAGUAAGCUUGUCCAAGUUAAUAAAGUAAGAACACUUAUUUGAUUAAGAAUGCAUACAAAGGAGAAUGUAGCGAUCCGAGACUAGGAGACAAGUCAAUUUCAACUCUAGGAUACCAAGCAAUGCAUCCUGAUCAGACCACACAUCUGUGCAGCGCAGUUAGAAAGGAUAUGCCAUCAAAUCUCAGUAUUCUUCUUCCUACCAGUGGUGUGGUGCAUGUACUCAUUAGUUUCUGACUAUUUAAAAUUAUUUUGGUUAUUGCAAAUAAAACAGUUUCUGUGCACCAGUUAAAAUAGCAUCAAAGUGUGACUUUUUGUAGGGGCAUUGCAUUUGUUUCCAGGAUUAUUAGUCAUAUCUGUUUAAACUAUGCUCACACAGUCCUGUAAACAAAGCAAGUUACAUGACUACAUGUUGCUAGCAGUCAUAUUAGAUGGUUAGUUAAAAGAAAAAUAUAAAGGUAAUAACAAACCUGAUUGUUUAAUCUGCUUCAGACAGCGCAAAUGCUAAGUGACUGAUGCCACAUCUAAUAAAUUAGGGCUUAUAUGUACAAAACUUAUGUUAAAAAAACAGCACUGGCAAAAAUCCCCCUGCUCGGUCUCCUCACAUCACCAGCAUUUAUUAAUA
RNA transcript from Melanotaenia boesemani (Boeseman's rainbowfish), 3181 nucleotides. It is a transcript of the gene named KH domain containing, RNA binding, signal transduction associated 3, with no coding region annotated. The record is from RefSeq and is a predicted model, not a curated record. Lineage: Eukaryota; Metazoa; Chordata; Actinopteri; Atheriniformes; Melanotaeniidae. The transcript has 11 exons.